Molecule: long non-coding RNA, 954 nt
Organism: Entelurus aequoreus (snake pipefish)
Lineage: Eukaryota; Metazoa; Chordata; Actinopteri; Syngnathiformes; Syngnathidae
Exons: 4
Source: RefSeq, a predicted model, not a curated record
AGUCUGGUCAUUCAGGGCCUGGGGGGUUUUGGGCUUACAGUUCGUAAGGGCCCUUAGACCUCUCCAAACUGCCGCAGAAUCAUUGGAGCGGAACUGUUCCUGUAGACGGUUAAAGUACACAGAUUUAGCUUUCUCCACUUCCCUGGUGAAGUGGUACUUCGCUUCUCUGUAUGUACUUCGGUCCCCGCUUCUCCACGCAGCCUCCUUCUUCUUGCGCAGCUGUCGGAGCUUGGGUGUGAACCAGGGCUUGUCGUUGUUAUAACAAACCCUGGUGCGCGUUGGAAUGAUGCACGCCUCAUUGAACUAUUCCCUUGCUGUGUCGAGGAGCUGCGACACUUCCGUGUGUGUCCACAUGGGGGUGCCAAAGAACCACUAGAGAAUCCCCUCCAAGCGCCCUGGUGACGUCAGAGGGCUCAGCAACGUGGAAGAAGAUGAGCAGUGUGAGCAUCCGUGAAGAGGGAAGCGAGGCCGAAGGCAAGACGGCGAGCGGCGUGGGCGCCAAAUGACAUCGGCGUGGUGUUCAAGGACAUCCUGAGAUGGAAAAGUGGCACAGAGAGCACAGUGAAUACACUCUCUGUCCACCGGAGCAAACCACAUAACAAAGAGGGAGAGCAUCAACUUAAAAAGGUGGCAUAAUGACAAUUUUUUUCACCCAACCGGAAAAAAAAAGAACUUUCACACGUUCUGACAGCUCUCAAUAAGUUCAGAAUCAGCACAAGACGGAAUUAAAAGCCUCCAAACACGGUUCGCUGAACAAAAGGAGCAGACAGACUGUAGCACAUCUUACCAGCUUCACAGGCAGUCACCUUCUUCCUUCCCUCACUGUGCGUGCCUAACAACAGUCCCCCAUGCAACAACUGGACGGAACCAAAAAAUAUACAUACGAUAUAUUCCGGAUUAUAAGCCGCUACCUUUUUCCUACACUUUGAACCCUGCGACUUAUAAAACGGUGCA